RNAcentral lists this ribosomal RNA (722 nucleotides) under Triticum aestivum (bread wheat). Its description in RNAcentral is "partial small subunit ribosomal RNA". The record is from RNAcentral. Lineage: Eukaryota; Viridiplantae; Streptophyta; Magnoliopsida; Poales; Poaceae.
GAGCGGGGUGAGGGAGGGGGCUAAGGGGACCUAGUCCUAGCUUGGGAGAGGGGAGCAGAGGGAGGGUCGCGGCGGAAGGGGUGGCGUGGGUGCGCUGCGGGUGAUCCCCCCCCCCGAGUGGGGGGCGCACUGGACGUGCUGGCAGCCGGGGCAGGGCUCACCUAGAUCUAGCCCCCGUUGACUGCGGGGGCUGGGCAGCACGCGGCAGUGGCGGUGGUGGAGGCUGUGGCGACCUGGCGGCGGCCUCGGGGGGAGUGGCAGAAGCGGCCUAGCCGGCGGCGGGGCAGCGGGAGCUAAGGAGGGGCGACCUGACGGAGGAGGGCCUGAGCGUAGUGACUCGGAGCAGCGGAGAAGGGAGGAGCGUGGGGGGCACUGCUACGACUACGGGGACACCUGCUGAUGCAGUAGCUGCUGGGGAGGAAGAACAGACUCGUUGGUCUACGACCUCGGGACCUCGGUCUGCGGUGGUAGCUGCUGCUGGGGGAUGAUGUGGCCUCCACGGAUGAUGAUGCACGUCGGGCGACUGCUGCUGGUCCUCAUCAAUCCUCCUAGGGUCCGUCCUCCGGACGCGGAGAAAGCUAGACAUAGGGUCAAACACGAUCGGAAGAAUUCCGUUUGAACAAAUUGAAUACAGACAUGAGUCUAUAACAACGAAGGCGACUGAGCAGAUACUAGCUCGCGAACAUAAGCUCGGGAGCUCCGGGGACCGAACAUAAUACUAC